RNAcentral lists this ribosomal RNA (1381 nucleotides) under Klebsiella pneumoniae. RNAcentral describes it as "bacterial SSU rRNA". It matches the Rfam family "Bacterial small subunit ribosomal RNA", at positions 61 to 1434 of the family's 1533-position model. The record is from RNAcentral. Lineage: Bacteria; Pseudomonadati; Pseudomonadota; Gammaproteobacteria; Enterobacterales; Enterobacteriaceae.
GUCGAGCGGUAGCACAGAGAGCUUGCUCUCGGGUGACGAGCGGCGGACGGGUGAGUAAUGUCUGGGAAACUGCCUGAUGGAGGGGGAUAACUACUGGAAACGGUAGCUAAUACCGCAUAAUGUCGCAAGACCAAAGUGGGGGACCUUCGGGCCUCAUGCCAUCAGAUGUGCCCAGAUGGGAUUAGCUAGUAGGUGGGGUAACGGCUCACCUAGGCGACGAUCCCUAGCUGGUCUGAGAGGAUGACCAGCCACACUGGAACUGAGACACGGUCCAGACUCCUACGGGAGGCAGCAGUGGGGAAUAUUGCACAAUGGGCGCAAGCCUGAUGCAGCCAUGCCGCGUGUGUGAAGAAGGCCUUCGGGUUGUAAAGCACUUUCAGCGGGGAGGAAGGCGUUGAGGUUAAUAACCUUGGCGAUUGACGUUACCCGCAGAAGAAGCACCGGCUAACUCCGUGCCAGCAGCCGCGGUAAUACGGAGGGUGCAAGCGUUAAUCGGAAUUACUGGGCGUAAAGCGCACGCAGGCGGUCUGUCAAGUCGGAUGUGAAAUCCCCGGGCUCAACCUGGGAACUGCAUUCGAAACUGGCAGGCUAGAGUCUUGUAGAGGGGGGUAGAAUUCCAGGUGUAGCGGUGAAAUGCGUAGAGAUCUGGAGGAAUACCGGUGGCGAAGGCGGCCCCCUGGACAAAGACUGACGCUCAGGUGCGAAAGCGUGGGGAGCAAACAGGAUUAGAUACCCUGGUAGUCCACGCCGUAAACGAUGUCGAUUUGGAGGUUGUGCCCUUGAGGCGUGGCUUCCGGAGCUAACGCGUUAAAUCGACCGCCUGGGGAGUACGGCCGCAAGGUUAAAACUCAAAUGAAUUGACGGGGGCCCGCACAAGCGGUGGAGCAUGUGGUUUAAUUCGAUGCAACGCGAAGAACCUUACCUGGUCUUGACAUCCACAGAACUUUCCAGAGAUGGAUUGGUGCCUUCGGGAACUGUGAGACAGGUGCUGCAUGGCUGUCGUCAGCUCGUGUUGUGAAAUGUUGGGUUAAGUCCCGCAACGAGCGCAACCCUUAUCCUUUGUUGCCAGCGGUUCGGCCGGGAACUCAAAGGAGACUGCCAGUGAUAAACUGGAGGAAGGUGGGGAUGACGUCAAGUCAUCAUGGCCCUUACGACCAGGGCUACACACGUGCUACAAUGGCAUAUACAAAGAGAAGCGACCUCGCGAGAGCAAGCGGACCUCAUAAAGUAUGUCGUAGUCCGGAUUGGAGUCUGCAACUCGACUCCAUGAAGUCGGAAUCGCUAGUAAUCGUAGAUCAGAAUGCUACGGUGAAUACGUUCCCGGGCCUUGUACACACCGCCCGUCACACCAUGGGAGUGGGUUGCAAAAGAAGUAGGUAGC